RNAcentral lists this ribosomal RNA (303 nucleotides) under uncultured bacterium. RNAcentral describes it as "partial 16S ribosomal RNA". It matches the Rfam family "Bacterial small subunit ribosomal RNA", at positions 507 to 807 of the family's 1533-position model. The record is from RNAcentral.
AGCAGUCGCCGCGGGAAUACGGAGGGUGCAAGCGUUAUCCGGAUUCACUGGGUUUAAAGGGUGCGUAGGUGGGCAGGUAAGUCAGUGGUGAAAUCUCCGGGCUUAACCCGGAAACUGCCGUUGAUACUAUCCGUCUUGAAUGUAGUGGAGGUGAGCGGAAUAUGUCGUGUAGCAGUGAAAUGCGUAGAUAUGUGGAGGAACACCGAUGGCGAAGGCAGCCCCCUGGGCUAAGAUUGACGCUCAUGCACGAAAGCGUGGGGAGCAAACAGGAUUAGAUACCCCUGUAGUCCCUGUCUCUUAUAC